Molecule: ribosomal RNA, 1383 nt
Filed under: Escherichia coli O26:H11
Lineage: Bacteria; Pseudomonadati; Pseudomonadota; Gammaproteobacteria; Enterobacterales; Enterobacteriaceae
Description: bacterial LSU rRNA
Rfam family: Bacterial large subunit ribosomal RNA
Source: RNAcentral
CCCGGUUUAAGCGUGUAGGCUGGUUUUCCAGGCAAAUCCGGAAAAUCAAGGCUGAGGCGUGAUGACGAGGCACUGCGGUGCUGAAGCAACAAAUGCCCUGCUUCCAGGAAAAGCCUCUAAGCAUCAGGUAACAUCAAAUCGUACCCCAAACCGACACAGGUGGUCAGGUAGAGAAUACCAAGGCGCUUGAGAGAACUCGGGUGAAGGAACUAGGCAAAAUGGUGCCGUAACUUCGGGAGAAGGCACGCUGAUAUGUAGGUGAAGUCCCUCGCGGAUGGAGCUGAAAUCAGUCGAAGAUACCAGCUGGCUGCAACUGUUUAUUAAAAACACAGCACUGUGCAAACACGAAAGUGGACGUAUACGGUGUGACGCCUGCCCGGUGCCGGAAGGUUAAUUGAUGGGGUUAGCGCAAGCGAAGCUCUUGAUCGAAGCCCCGGUAAACGGCGGCCGUAACUAUAACGGUCCUAAGGUAGCGAAAUUCCUUGUCGGGUAAGUUCCGACCUGCACGAAUGGCGUAAUGAUGGCCAGGCUGUCUCCACCCGAGACUCAGUGAAAUUGAACUCGCUGUGAAGAUGCAGUGUACCCGCGGCAAGACGGAAAGACCCCGUGAACCUUUACUAUAGCUUGACACUGAACAUUGAGCCUUGAUGUGUAGGAUAGGUGGGAGGCUUUGAAGUGUGGACGCCAGUCUGCAUGGAGCCGACCUUGAAAUACCACCCUUUAAUGUUUGAUGUUCUAACGUUGACCCGUAAUCCGGGUUGCGGACAGUGUCUGGUGGGUAGUUUGACUGGGGCGGUCUCCUCCUAAAGAGUAACGGAGGAGCACGAAGGUUGGCUAAUCCUGGUCGGACAUCAGGAGGUUAGUGCAAUGGCAUAAGCCAGCUUGACUGCGAGCGUGACGGCGCGAGCAGGUGCGAAAGCAGGUCAUAGUGAUCCGGUGGUUCUGAAUGGAAGGGCCAUCGCUCAACGGAUAAAAGGUACUCCGGGGAUAACAGGCUGAUACCGCCCAAGAGUUCAUAUCGACGGCGGUGUUUGGCACCUCGAUGUCGGCUCAUCACAUCCUGGGGCUGAAGUAGGUCCCAAGGGUAUGGCUGUUCGCCAUUUAAAGUGGUACGCGAGCUGGGUUUAGAACGUCGUGAGACAGUUCGGUCCCUAUCUGCCGUGGGCGCUGGAGAACUGAGGGGGGCUGCUCCUAGUACGAGAGGACCGGAGUGGACGCAUCACUGGUGUUCGGGUUGUCAUGCCAAUGGCACUGCCCGGUAGCUAAAUGCGGAAGAGAUAAGUGCUGAAAGCAUCUAAGCACGAAACUUGCCCCGAGAUGAGUUCUCCCUGACUCCUUGAGAGUCCUGAAGGAACGUUGAAGACGACGACGUUGAUAGGCCGG